AGAGUUUGAUCCUAGCUCAGAAUGAACGCUGGCGGCACGCCUAACACAUGCAAGUCGAACGGAGUUCUCGUGUUCGCAUGAGAACUUAGUGGCAAACGGGUGAGUAACACGUGGGAACCUGCCUUUUGGAGGGGGAUAGCCUUGGGAAACUAAGGGUAUACCGCAUAAGAUCGCAUGAAAGUGCGAAGAAAGAUGCGAAUCGCCAAAAGAGGGGCCUGCGUCGGAUUAGGUAGUUGGUGAGGUAAUGGCUCACCAAGCCUGUGAUCUGUAGCUGGUCUGAGAGGAUGGUCAGCCACAUUGGGACUGAGACACGGCCCAAACUCCUACGGGAGGCAGCAGUGAGGGAUAUUGGACAAUGGGGGAAACCCUGAUCCAGCGAUGCCGCGUGAGCGAUGAAGGCCUUCGGGUCGUAAAGCUCUUUCAUUCGUGAUGAUAAUGACAGUAGCGAAAGAAGAAGUCCCGGCUAACUCCGUGCCAGCAGCCGCGGUAAUACGGGGGGGACUAGCGUUAUUCGGAAUUACUGGGCGUAAAGGGUGUGUAGGCGGUUUUGUAAGUAGUGUGUUAAAUCCCUGGGCUUAACCUUGGGGCUGCGCGCUAAACUGCGGAACUAGAAGAUGGUAGGGGAAAGUGGAAUUCCUGGUGUAGAGGUGAAAUUCUUAGAUAUCAGGAGGAACGUCGGGGGCGAAGGCGACUUUCUGGGCCAUAUUUGACGCUGAGGCACGAAAGCGUGGGGAGCAAACAGGAUUAGAUACCCUGGUAGUCCACGCCGUAAACGAUGAGUACUAUGUGUCGGGAUUUUUAUUUCGGUAUUGAAGCUAACGCAAUAAGUACUCCGCCUGGGGACUACGAUCGCAAGAUUAAAACUCAAAGGAAUUGACGGGGGCCUGCACAAGCGGUGGAGCAUGUGGUUUAAUUCGAUAAUAAGCGAAGAAACUUACCAGGGUUUGACAUGUUGAGUUGGUAUGCAGAGAUGUGUGCGUCGGUUCGGCCGGCUUUUCACAGGUGUUGCAUGGCCGUCGUCAGCUCGUGUCGUGAGAUGUUAGGUUAAGUCCUGUAACGAGCGCAACCCCUGUCCUUUAUUGCCAGCAUUUGGUUGGGGACUUUGAGGAGACUGCCGGUGCAAGCCGGAGGAAGGAGGGGAUGAAGUCAGGUCAUCAUGGCCCUUAUGUCCUGGGCUACACACGUGCUACAAUGGCGAAUACAGCGGGUUGCAAGGAGGUGACUCUAAGCUAAUCCUAAAAGUUCGUCCUAGUUCGGAUUGCUCUCUGUAACUCGAGAGCAUGAAGUCGGAAUCGCUAGUAAUCGCGGAUGAGGAUGCCGCGGUGAAUACGUAAACUGGCCUUGUACACACCGACCGUCAAGCCAUGGGAGUUGGUUCUGCUUUAAAUCGAUCCGCUAACCUUAGGGAGGCGUUCGACUAUGGUGGGGCUGAUGACUGGGGUUAAGUCGGAACAAGGUA
This 1459-nucleotide ribosomal RNA is filed under the name metagenome. RNAcentral describes it as "bacterial SSU rRNA". It matches the Rfam family "Bacterial small subunit ribosomal RNA". The record is from RNAcentral.